This 216-nucleotide long non-coding RNA is filed under the name Vigna radiata. RNAcentral's name for it is "long non-coding RNA (VRAD_LNC012817)". The record is from RNAcentral. Lineage: Eukaryota; Viridiplantae; Streptophyta; Magnoliopsida; Fabales; Fabaceae.
AAUUGGAAAAGCAAUUAAAGUGAGGUCUCCUAGGUGAGGCUUAGACUUUGGAUCUAAGACACACUCACCGACUACUCAAUUUUAGGUUGUGAGACUUCUUUGAGUCUAGUUACAAAUGAGGGAAGAGCACUUGUGAACUCUAUCACCUCACUUGCUUGGAUUUAGAACUUACAACCAAAAACCAAUGGAAAUUACAAAGAACUUGGUAAAUGAAAA